AAUUUGUGAGAUCAAAGCUCAUUCCAAGUGAGUUUUGGUAGAGAAUUUCCUUAGGUACUAAGGGAAUUUGGGUGUAUUGGGUAUUGAAUUUUUUAGAGUUUUUCAACUUUUGUAAAGUCCCAUUAUUAGUAAAAUUAUUUUCCAGUUUUUGCCCGUAAAUGUAGGCUUUAGGCCGAACCAUGUAAAAUUAUUGUGUCUUUUUUUAUUUUUACAUUUGUUUACAUCAUAUUUAUAUUUCUCUAAAAAUUGCAGUCACCGUAAUAUCAGUAAUUACUCAACCCGCACUUCCGCAACAGUUCUUUGUAAAAUGGGCUAGCAUCGUCUCAUGAUCUAAGGCUCCAGUAUGGAGAACCUUUUGGUGAAAACAGUUAAACAAAAUAUUGGUAACAUCGUCUCCCCUUACUUGAUAAAAGCUAGCUUAUAAGAGGACUUAUCUUGGUGACAGGCAUAGCUGAACUCUUGAAUGAAUUUAGAGAGCAGUUGUUGUAUGUUAGCUAUACUCCCUAGCUUUAGAGAUUGAAACCAAGACUUGGCUGGCCCAUGAGGAUAUGGGUGAACAUGCGGCACACAACUUUUUUCCCAACUCUUUUUAUAAGCAACUACUCCCAAUAUAACUCAGCAUGCUCGGUGGGGUCAAAGAUACACCCAUAUUAUGGAAUCUGAGAUAUUUUGAAGUCGGUUAGGAGAGCUGCUUGGCGAAUUUCCUUCGUGAAUGACACUAACAAACGAUCAGCGCUUGAUCCUUAGCGAUGGAGAUUUCUUUCUCGGUCAGUUUUCAAACUUGUUCCUCUAGAAUAGAAAUCUUGUCAAGAAUUUCUUUAGGUAUCUUAUGAUUUCUGGAGAAACCCUUCCCAUUCUAAGGAGAUCUCUUAGCAUUGAGCUUCUCUCGUAAAUGUUCGAUCGACUGUUUGCCACAUUUUCGGCCCCCUUACUGACACUAGAUUGACUAUUAGCAAUAAAUCUUUUAUCCUUAGAGCAAACGGGCUGUGCUUUUGAUCUAUUCGUGGCGAAGUUGAGCUGUUUGCUGCUUCGGGGACCUCUUGUUGUUGGACAUCAACCUUUUCGCCAUGAGCUUGUGCGGAGGCUUAUUUGCUUAGACCACUGUCCAGAUAUUGAGUCUACAAGCCAAUAGCACCUUCAUUUCUUGGUUUGAAAUCAAAUAUGCGAUUUUAAACCUUUCUUUUUCUUUUUUUUUUUUUAAUGUAAAAACAGAUAAGUUUACCGGUUCAAUUGGUCUUGGAUCCAACCAAAAAGAAAUCACUUGCUUUAAAAUAUUUUAAACUAUUGUAUGUUUCGACUUUUGGACCGAUUUGGCCACUGUUUACCAUUUUGAAACUAGCCUUUUUCGUUUUUCAAAUAUAGAAAAAGCAAAAAACUUAAUAUGAUUUGUUUUUAGUAGUGUAUGAAAUCUGUUCCGAAUAAAUAGUUUUCAUUUCUUAUUCCUUCUUCCUAAAAGUGGGAAACAAAAAAAUGGUUAGUAUUAUUUUUCAAAAGGUAUUUGUGCAUCUUUUUUCUUAUAUAAAACAAAUAAAC
Molecule: long non-coding RNA, 1533 nt
Filed under: Citrus sinensis (sweet orange)
Lineage: Eukaryota; Viridiplantae; Streptophyta; Magnoliopsida; Sapindales; Rutaceae
Description: long non-coding RNA (CSIN_LNC003445)
Source: RNAcentral